Molecule: ribosomal RNA, 273 nt
Filed under: Triticum aestivum (bread wheat)
Lineage: Eukaryota; Viridiplantae; Streptophyta; Magnoliopsida; Poales; Poaceae
Description: partial small subunit ribosomal RNA
Source: RNAcentral
AUGACAAUCAAGAUAUUCAAGAAGAAAGAUGAUGGUGACUGGUGGUUGUACUUUGGUUAUGAUAAUCAGAACCAUGGUGUUGUUGGAUUUUGGCCAAAAAGUAUUUUCAAUAAUAUGGCACCCCAUGCAAAUUAUAUACAAUGGGGUGGUUACACCAUGUCUGAUCCUGGGAGUGCUAGUCCCGCAAUGGGCAAUGGGCAUUGGCCUGGAAUUUAUUCAGCAACCGUUCAAGACGAGUCAGAUUUGUUGAUGACAAUGGUAGAGGCUACAUAA